GACGAACGCUGGCGGCGUGCUUAACACAUGCAAGUCGAACGCUGAAGCUCAGCUUGCUGGGUGGAUGAGUGGCGAACGGGUGAGUAACACGUGAGUAACCUGCCCUCUUCUUUGGGAUAACGCCCGGAAACGGGUGCUAAUACUGGAUAUUCACUGAUUCUCGCAUGGGGGUUGGUGGAAAGGUUUUUUCUGGUGGGGGAUGGGCUCGCGGCCUAUCAGUUUGUUGGUGGGGUGAUGGCCUACCAAGGCUUUGACGGGUAGCCGGCCUGAGAGGGUGACCGGUCACAUUGGGACUGGGAUACGGCCCAGACUCCUACGGGAGGCAGCAGUGGGGAAUAUUGCACAAUGGGCGAAAGCCUGAUGCAGCGACGCCGCGUGAGGGAUGGAGGCCUUCGGGUUGUAAACCUCUUUCGCUCAUGGUCAAGCCGCAGCUUGGGGUUGUGGUGAGGGUAGUGGGUAAAGAAGCGCCGGCUAACUACGUG
Molecule: ribosomal RNA, 482 nt
Filed under: uncultured bacterium
Lineage: Bacteria
Description: partial 16S ribosomal RNA
Rfam family: Bacterial small subunit ribosomal RNA
Source: RNAcentral